RNAcentral lists this ribosomal RNA (253 nucleotides) under uncultured bacterium. RNAcentral describes it as "partial 16S ribosomal RNA". It matches the Rfam family "Bacterial small subunit ribosomal RNA", at positions 524 to 776 of the family's 1533-position model. The record is from RNAcentral.
UACGUAGGGACCAAGCGUUGUUCGGAUUUACUGGGCGUAAAGGGCGCGUAGGCGGCAAUUCAAGUCAUCUGUGAAAUCUCCGGGUUUAACUCGGAACGGUCAGAUGAUACUGCUUUGCUCGAGUGCGGAAGGGGCAAUCGGAAUUCUUGGUGUAGCGGUGAAAUGCGUAGAUAUCAAGAGGAACACCUGAGGUGAAGACGGGUUGCUGGGCCGACACUGACGCUGAAGCGCGAAAGCCAGGGGAGCAAACGGG